GGCCUACGGGAGGCAGCAGUGGGGAAUUUUGGACAAUGGGGGAAACCCUGAUCCAGCAAUCCGCGCUGUGUGAAGAAAGGCCUUCGGGUUGUAAAGCACUUUUGUCCGGAAAGAAA
This 116-nucleotide ribosomal RNA is filed under the name uncultured bacterium. RNAcentral describes it as "partial 16S ribosomal RNA". It matches the Rfam family "Bacterial small subunit ribosomal RNA", at positions 335 to 450 of the family's 1533-position model. The record is from RNAcentral.